UGAGGAAUUUUCCGCAAUGGGUGAAAGCCUGACGGAGCAAUGCCGCGUGGAGGAAGAAUGCCUUUGGGUUGUAAACUCCUUUUCUCAUAGAAGAAAAAAUGACGGUAUAUGAGGAAUAAGCAUCGGCUAAUUCCGUGCCAGCAGCCGCGGUAAUACGGGAGAUGCAAGCGUUAUCCGGAAUUAUUGGGCGUAAAGAGUUUGUAGGUGGUCCAGUGUGUUUAAUGUUAAAUGUCAGAGCUUAACUUUGGAAUCGCAUUAAAAACUGCUAGACUUGAGUAUGGUAGGGGUAAAGGGAAUUUCCAGUGUAGCGGUGAAAUGCGUAGAGAUUGGAAAGAACACCAAAAGCGAAGGCACUUUACUAGGCCAAUACUGACAUUGAGAAACGAAAGCUAAGGGAGCA
This 400-nucleotide ribosomal RNA is filed under the name uncultured bacterium. RNAcentral describes it as "bacterial SSU rRNA". It matches the Rfam family "Bacterial small subunit ribosomal RNA", at positions 355 to 770 of the family's 1533-position model. The record is from RNAcentral.